Molecule: non-coding RNA, 2339 nt
Organism: Microcebus murinus (gray mouse lemur)
Lineage: Eukaryota; Metazoa; Chordata; Mammalia; Primates; Cheirogaleidae
Source: RefSeq, a predicted model, not a curated record
UCCUGCUGGCAGCGGGGGGCGCGGAGGUGGGAGCAGACGUGUGCGCGGUCUGCCGGGCGUUCUCAGUUCCAGUCGGCUGGGUCCCGCAGAUCAUGUGUCCGCGCCCGGCGCACGCCCCCUCCUCCGUGGCGGAGGCCCGCUGGGUUAUUUUUAGCUUGCCCUGUAACAUCUGGCCCCGGAGACUUCCACCAGGGCGUCGGCCGCCUGGCCAGCGCCAAGGGAGGAGGGGGCACCGACUUGGAGACGUGGCGUGUCUCUGUCUGCCCCUCUCCUAACAAGCACUUCCACGAAGGCUGGGUCCCCUCCCGGAAGGAGCGGCUGGGGCAGGCAAGCAGGCUGGCGGGUGGGUGGGGGCUCUGCUGCUCCCUUGUCCAAGUCUUGAGCUUUGAGCGGGCCGACGCUUUGGAAGAUGUUGCCAGACGCGACCCGCUGGGCUUGCGGCUGCGGGGAGACGCCUCGCUGGCGUGGGACAGCUCUUACCGCAUGUGCCUCUGCUGAGAUUUAAAUGACACUGUGCACAUGAAGUGUUUCGUGUACAUCCUAGGUGUGCUGGAAAUGUCGGCUCCUGUGUGUGCUUUGUACAGGACUCAACCUUCCACAAAUUUUACGUCCCCUUCCUGUUCCCAGCACCCCGACACAGGUGCGGUUUUGACACCCAUUUCACAGGUGAGAGCGGGGUAGAGGCCGGAACCCAGGUCCGUCUGACCUCUGGGUCUCACUCGCCGGCCAAGCUCGAGGGACCCAAGCUCUAGGCAUCCGCGUACCUGGGCUGCGGCCCAGCUCUGCCUGCGUGAGACGCUGCAAAGCCUUGCUCACCGCGCCUCAGUCUCCCACCUGUGAAAUGGGCGCGUGACAGCACCUUCCUCCUAAGGUCCAUGGGGGCAAGAGGACAUGGUGCCGGCCGUGCCCAGCACUUGCACAGAGUGAGCGCUCAACAGAGGCCGGCUUCUUCCUCCCUGGGGCACUGACCCCCACGGCCGGCCAGGGCAGCCACCUCGAUAGCCUGGGCCGUAUCCUCGAGCCCUCCUGGCCUCCUGGAGAGUGACAGCAGCAAGGACUCGCGACGUGUGCCUGCACUGUCUGAAGCCUUCACACGUUUUAAUGCAAGUAGGUCUCGCAGGAGCCCUGCACCCAGGCCGGGUGCCAUCUCAGCCCCUCCCCGUGCCAGACGCUCACUCAGAGUCAGACUCGGUCAACGGAGGUGGUGCAGCCGGCCGCACCCCCUCUCUGUGCCUCAGUUUCCUCAUCUGUGAAAGCAGGGUACGGAGCCAGAACCACUCCCGCAGGCUCGCUGAGGUUGUGCUCGCUGAGGUCUAGGGCUGGGAACAGGCUCGCCGUGGGAGCCCACCCCACGAGUCGCCGCGUCCAGGGCCUCGGCCAUCCUCCGCCGGCCCUCCAGGCAGCCCCAUCCCCACCCGGCUCCCCGUGAACCUUCCUGCCCCUUGGAACCCGGGAUCCUGGGCUUUCCUAAGGCCAUCAACACCUCCCCCAUUCCCGUUCACCCGUCCCUUCCACCUUCUCCCUAAAACGUAGGCAUUUCCUGUUGGUGUCAACGGGACAUUCUUGGCCCGUUUCCUGGUCUCUCUCCCGCUGGGCGGCCCCACUCCUGCCAAGAGCACCAACCGCCCUCCCUCUGGGUGGGGGGCACUCCAGUGACCUCUCCCAGCCUCCUCCCCAUCCCUUUCUGGACUCUGCGCCUUGCCUUCACCCUGGCAGUCUCCCACCUGGAGUGCUUUUCUACCCAAACCGCAGCACUCACACAGCGCCCCCUCCGGGUUUCUGCUCGUAUGUCGCUUUCUUGGUGUGGUCUUCUCUGAGCCCAGGAUUUAAAACCACAAUUCCUACACCACUGGGACGCCCCACGCCCCUCCUGGCUUUGUGCUUCUUCACACCUGUCACCGUAUUUUGCUUUAUCUUGUUCCUUUGUUGUCUGUCUUUCCACACCAGGACGCCGGCUUCACAGGGGCAGCUUUUUUGGGUCUGUUCAUUCGCUUUGGAAUCACCAGUGCCUAAAGCAGUGCCCGGCACCAGGCAGACACUCAACAAACACCGAGGAACGAAUGAGUCGUGUACAACCCCGUCCACCUGCCUGCUGGAUGGCUUGGCUGUCACUCCAUCUGUCCCACACAGCUGUCCCUCAUCACGGUGACGACGGAGCAUGCAACAUGUGGCCGGUCUGAACGGAGGUCUAUUGUAAGCGUAAAACAUACACGGGAUUUUGAAGACGUACGGAAGGAAAAAGGACGAGAAUAUUUCAUUAGGGACUUUUAUGUUGAUUAUGCACUGAACUGCUAAUGUUUAGGCCAUAUUGGGUUCAAUGAAAUAGAUGAUUGAAUUAA